This 553-nucleotide ribosomal RNA is filed under the name uncultured archaeon. Its description in RNAcentral is "bacterial SSU rRNA". It matches the Rfam family "Archaeal small subunit ribosomal RNA", at positions 325 to 879 of the family's 1478-position model. The record is from RNAcentral.
ACGGGGUGCAGCAGGCGAGAAAACUUUGCAAUGUGCGAAAGCACGACAAGGUUAAUCCGAGUGAUUUCUGCUAAAGGAAUCUUUUGUCAGUCCUAGAAACACUGUUGAAUAAGGGGUGGGCAAGUUCUGGUGUCAGCCGCCGCGGUAAAACCAGCACCUUAAGUGGUCAGGAUGAUUAUUGGGCCUAAAGCAUCCGUAGCCGGCCCUGUAAGUUUUCGGUUAAAUCUGUACGCUCAACGUACAGGCUGCUGGGAAUACUGCAGGGCUAGGGAGUGGGAGAGGUAGACGGUACUCGGGAGGAAGUGGUAAAAUGCUUUGAUCUCUCGAUGACCACCUGUGGCGAAGGCGGUCUACCAGAACACGUCCGACGGUGAGGGAUGAAAGCUGGGGGAGCAAACCGGAUUAGAUACCCGGGUAGUCCCAGCUGUAAACUAUGCAAACUCAGUGAUGCACUGGCUUAUGGCUAGUGCAGUGUUGCAGGGAAGCCGUUAAGUUUGCCGCCUGGGAAGUACGUACGCAAGUAUGAAACUUAAAGGAAUUGGCGGGGGAGCAC